RNAcentral lists this small nuclear RNA (103 nucleotides) under Octodon degus (degu). The record is from RNAcentral. Lineage: Eukaryota; Metazoa; Chordata; Mammalia; Rodentia; Octodontidae.
GUGUUCACUUCGGCAGCACAUACACUAAAACUGGAGUGGUAAGAGAGUAGCGUGGCCCCUGUGCAAGGCUGACGUGUCAAAUGCACAGCUCAUGGUUUGCUUU